GUGCAUGUGGUGUAAUUGGUAACACGCUUGCAAACAGCACGGGGUUUUUAAAUCAUCUGGUGUUGACCUCGCCUGGCGAGUGAGCCUGAUGGCCCAUCCUGUUGCAAGUGAUCCCAGUUCGAUCCUGGGCAUGCACA
This is a non-coding RNA of Staphylotrichum longicolle, 137 nucleotides long. NCBI's taxonomy places the organism in Eukaryota, Fungi, Ascomycota, Sordariomycetes, Sordariales, Chaetomiaceae. The record is from the annotation of a GenBank genome assembly.